AGUGAACGCUGGCGGUAGGCCUAACGCAUGCAAGUCGAACGGCAGCACAGUAAGAGCUUGCUCUUACGGGUGGCGAGUGGCGGACGGGUGAGGAAUACAUCGGAAUCUACUUUUUCGUGGGGGAUAACGUAGGGAAACUUACGCUAAUACCGCAUACGACCUACGGGUGAAAGCAGGGGAUCUUCGGACCUUGCGCGAUUGAAUGAGCCGAUGUCGGAUUAGCUAGUUGGCGGGGUAAAGGCCCACCAAGGCGACGAUCCGUAGCUGGUCUGAGAGGAUGAUCAGCCACACUGGAACUGAGACACGGUCCAGACUCCUACGGGGGGCAGCAGUGGGGAAUAUUGGACAAUGGGCGCAAGCCUGAUCCAGCCAUACCGCGUGGGUGAAGAAGGCCUUCGGGUUGUAAAGCCCUUUUGUUGGGAAAGAAAAGCAGCAGGUUAAUACCCCGCUGUUCUGACGGUACCCAAAGAAUAAGCACCGGCUAACUUCGUG
Molecule: ribosomal RNA, 492 nt
Filed under: uncultured bacterium
Lineage: Bacteria
Description: partial 16S ribosomal RNA
Rfam family: Bacterial small subunit ribosomal RNA
Source: RNAcentral